RNAcentral lists this ribosomal RNA (250 nucleotides) under uncultured bacterium. Its description in RNAcentral is "partial 16S ribosomal RNA". It matches the Rfam family "Bacterial small subunit ribosomal RNA", at positions 338 to 586 of the family's 1533-position model. The record is from RNAcentral.
CCUACGGGGCGCAGCAGUGAGGAAUAUUGGUCAAUGGGCGAGAGCCUGAACCAGCCAAGUCGCGUGAGGGAGUACUGCCCUAUGGGUUGUAAACCUCUUUUGUCGGGGAGCAAAAGCCGGACGUGUCCGGCUGUGAGAGUACCCGAAGAAAAAGCAUCGGCUAACUACGUGCCAGCAGCCGCGGUAAUACGUAGGGGGCAAGCGUUAUCCGGAUUCAUUGGGCGUAAAGCGCGCGCAGGCGGGGUGCUAA